RNAcentral lists this ribosomal RNA (404 nucleotides) under uncultured Bicosoeca. Its description in RNAcentral is "partial small subunit ribosomal RNA". It matches the Rfam family "Eukaryotic small subunit ribosomal RNA", at positions 30 to 432 of the family's 1831-position model. The record is from RNAcentral. Lineage: Eukaryota; Bigyra; Bicosoecida.
GCUUGUCUCAAAGAUUAAGCCAUGCAAAGGAACGUUCAACCCCAUUUGGGGAAGACGCUGGCCGGCUCAUUAAAUCAGUCAUAGUUCAUUCGACAGAUCACUCUACAUGGAUAACCGUAGUAACUCUAGAGCUAAUACAUGCGCAAAUUCCCGACUGUCGCAAGGCGGAAAGGAUGUAUUUAUUAGAUCCAACCAGCCCGGUUCGCCGGAGUCCCUGGUGAGUCAUAAUAACUGAGCGAAUCGCAUGGCCUUGUGCCGGCGAUGGUUCAUUCAAGUUUCUGCCCUAUCAGCUUUCGAUGGUAGGGUAUUGGCCUACCAUGGCGUUAACGGGUAACGGAGAAUUAGGGUUCGAUUCCGGAGAGGGAGCCUGAGAAACGGCUACCACAUCCAAGGAAGGCAGCAGG